Molecule: ribosomal RNA, 492 nt
Filed under: uncultured bacterium
Lineage: Bacteria
Description: partial 16S ribosomal RNA
Rfam family: Bacterial small subunit ribosomal RNA
Source: RNAcentral
AGUGAACGCUGGCGGUAUGCCUAACACGUGCAAGUCGAACGGCAGCACAGUAAGAGCUUGCUCUUACGGGUGGCGAGUGGCGGACGGGUGAGGAAUACAUCGGAAUCUACUUUUUCGUGGGGGAUAACGUAGGGAAACUUACGCUAAUACCGCAUACGACCUACGGGUGAAAGCAGGGGAUCUUCGGACCUUGCGCGAUUGAAUGAGCCGAUGUCGGAUUAGCUAGUUGGCGGGGUAAAGGCCCACCAAGGCGACGAUCCGUAGCUGGUCUGAGAGGAUGAUCAGCCACACUGGAACUGAGACACGGUCCAGACUCCUACGGGAGGCAGCAGUGGGGAAUAUUGGACAAUGGGCGCAAGCCUGAUCCAGCCAUACCGCGUGGGUGAAGAAGGCCUUCGGGUUGUAAAGCCCUUUUGUUGGGAAAGAAAAGCAGCAGGUUAAUACCCCGCUGUUCUGACGGUACCCAAAGAAUAAGCACCGGCUAACUUCGUG